AUACUCACUUCAGCAGCACAUCUACUAAAAUUGGAAUGAUACAAAGAUUAACAUGGCCCAUGCUCAGGGAUGACACACAAAUUCGUGAAGCAUUCCGUAUUUUU
RNAcentral lists this small nuclear RNA (104 nucleotides) under Myotis davidii. Lineage: Eukaryota; Metazoa; Chordata; Mammalia; Chiroptera; Vespertilionidae. The record is from RNAcentral.